This 252-nucleotide ribosomal RNA is filed under the name uncultured bacterium. RNAcentral's name for it is "partial 16S ribosomal RNA". It matches the Rfam family "Bacterial small subunit ribosomal RNA", at positions 524 to 776 of the family's 1533-position model. The record is from RNAcentral.
UACGUAGGGUGCAAGCGUUGUCCGGAAUUAUUGGGCGUAAAGAGCUCGUAGGCGGUUCGUCACGUCGGCUGUGAAAACCUGAGGCUCAACCUCAGGCCUGCAGUCGAUACGGGCGACUUGAGUACUGCAGGGGAGACUGGAAUUCCUGGUGUAGCGGUGAAAUGCGCAGAUAUCAGGAGGAACACCGGUGGCGAAGGCGACUCUCUGGGCUGUAACUGACGCUGAGGCGCGAAAGCUAGGGGAGCAAACAGG